This 427-nucleotide ribosomal RNA is filed under the name uncultured bacterium. RNAcentral describes it as "partial 16S ribosomal RNA". It matches the Rfam family "Bacterial small subunit ribosomal RNA", at positions 354 to 796 of the family's 1533-position model. The record is from RNAcentral.
GUGGGGAAUAUUGGGCAAUGGGGGAAACCCUGACCCAGCAACGCCGCGUGAAGGAAGAAGGCUUUCGGGUUGUAAACUUCUUUUAUGAGGGACGAAGAAGUGACGGUACCUCAUGAAUAAGCCACGGCUAACUACGUGCCAGCAGCCGCGGUAAUACGUAGGUGGCAAGCGUUGUCCGGAUUUACUGGGUGUAAAGGGCGCGUAGGCGGGAUAGCAAGUCAGGUGUGAAAUCCGGGGGCUUAACCCUGGAACUGCACUUGAAACUGUUAUUGUUGCGUGCUGGAGAGGCAAGCGGUAUUCCUUGUGUAGCGGUGAAAUGCGUAGAUAUUAGGGGGAACGCCAGUGGCGAAGGCGGCUUGCUGGACAUUAACUGACGCUGAGGCGCGAAAGCGUGGGGGGCAAACAGGAUUAGAAACCCGGGUAGUCC